AACCUAAAAAAUAGGGCUAACCUCAAAAGCAAUUCGAGGAUCGCGCCCCGGAUGUCGCACCGGGUUGUAUGGUUGAGUCAUAGUGGAAACUGAUGACUUAAGUCCAUUGUAUUAAUAACCUUUCGAAGAUUCGUUGAAAUGUACAAAACCUUCAGCAGAUGACGUUAAAUUAUAUAUCGAUUGCUUAACGAGUUCGCUACUAGUUUCACAUAUUUGUGACGGUCGCAAUCCUAUAUUCUACAUCGUGGACAUGAAAUUGAUCCUACAGAUAUUAUUAGAUAUUAUAAACGACAAUAUAUUUAGGAACUCAAUGACUCGUUUCGAUUUCGUUCUAAUAUUUUGUUUAGAUUUAUUCGAUUGAAUAAAAUAUAGAGGAUCGCUACUGAAACAAACGCUGGCGAACGUGUUAAUUAAUAGGAAAACGGGAGACAACACGGUAAUCUAUUGCCGUUUCACUAAUUGAAUCAUUAGCUCGCGACUUGGUCUUCCGAAUAUGAACAUCUGGUCUCGCCGGAAUGGUCAUUCGUCCGCGAAGGGUUAAAUCUCGCGUAAUCUUAUCAUUAUUUAUGAAUGAGAUCGGAAGGUUGAGAGCUCCGCUCGGAGACGCUCGUUAGAGAUACGCGUUGUAAAUACAGGGAAGAGGGUGGACAGGAAGUACGGGGGUAGAAUGCGGGUUUUACAGUCACUAGAACGAAAUCGGGAUACACCAGUGUAUUCUACGGCGCGCACACAUUGAUAGCGUUCGUUCACUGGCAACGGGACGCCUGCGCGAGCCAGCCCUGUCAAUACUGUUUGGGGGAUCCCUCCGUUUCCCUGUUGGAUUGAUACGAGUCAAUGCACGACAGUAUCCAAGCGUGCACGAGAACUUUUUGUUGCCGGCGACCCAGUAUCACCACUGUGUACUCUACUUUUCGGAAUUGAUUUUCCGCGGAAUGAUGCGUUCGGAAAAAUACACGUAGAUGGAUAUAAUAAUGGACUCCGAGCACCUCUCGUAUUCCAUUUCCAUGGGAUUCGGAUUUUGAAAUUUGUUUGUCACUCGAAGUGAUCAGCCACUGAUUGAAACGAAUAAAUAGUAGACUAACUUCAUUAACCUUUCGCCGACAUUUUGGGUGAAAUGUUCAGAUUUGGAACGCUAAGUAACGGAUGAUUUAAUUACUCGAAUAGCCAGAGAGAAUAGAAGAUGUGAACGACUCGAGGCUGAGGAUCUUAGUUGCAGUUAUAUAUUAAGAAUAUAGUAAUGAUAAAAGUGAUAUAAAAAUAUAGUAUUUUUUGUACAUAUUUUGAAUGAAAUAAAUAUUUUUUUUUUAAUUCA
Molecule: long non-coding RNA, 1312 nt
Organism: Nomia melanderi (Alkali bee)
Lineage: Eukaryota; Metazoa; Arthropoda; Insecta; Hymenoptera; Halictidae
Source: RefSeq, a predicted model, not a curated record